This 21-nucleotide non-coding RNA is filed under the name Arabidopsis thaliana (thale cress). The record is from RNAcentral. Lineage: Eukaryota; Viridiplantae; Streptophyta; Magnoliopsida; Brassicales; Brassicaceae.
UAGAUGAAAAGGUGAAGGUAA